CCCCCCCCCCGUGGCGGUAUGGGAGAGCCCAGGGGCGGGCACUGCACUUGGCCUUGGCCCCGCCUCUCCGGUCCCCGGUGUCGGUUGGCGGGAGCGGAGCCCCUCACGCUCCCAAAAGUGUGCCAAGUGAUUUAGGGAAAAAUUAGAAAGCUAUGGCCUGAAUUUGGCCUGAAGUGUGAGCCUGCUACAAAAUGUGCAAUACAGAUAAGACCAGGAAUUCCUGGAUGGUGGAACAAUCAAAUAUUCCAUUCAUCGCCCUGUUGCUGAUGGCUGUACUCUCUUGUUUGCCUUUCUUUUUCUUUUAUUUAAUUUUCAUUCUGAAGACAAAUGGCUGCUUCCUACAGAUACAUUAAUGUGCUUUGUUUUCUGUGUUUCCCUGAUUUGAUUUUCUGAAGGGACUCAUCUUUAAUCAGUCACAGGUAAAAAAUUUUCAUGAGCUUGAAUGACAUUUCAGGACAGAAGCUCCUAUUGGUGAAAUCUCUUGAAUUUGGGAUAUUACAGUAGAUCAAAAGAAGAAAUUCUGUCUCUUCUCUUUUUGUUAUGGCAGCACACAUUGCUACAAGGACCACAUAUUUCUGCAAGACCAAAGAGCAAUUUGGUGACUAAGAGCUAAAAUAUAGUCUCCAAAUCAUGUUCCUAAUUUUAACUGUCAGUGUCAGGUGCCUGUUUUCACAGUGUGCACCAUGGCAGAGGCUGGAGUUUGGACUUCCAUACCACUUCAUUUCCUACCCAAUUUUGAUUUUAGUUUUUAAAUAGCUCUCUAUAUUUUUGAGUCAACUUGAGCCCAACCACUGCUCAAACCUGUUUGGCUGUCCAAUGCUGUCAUGAGCCUGUACGGAAAAGUGUAUCUCCUCUAAUCAAGAAGAGUAUCUUAUCUAUAGGAACAGAAGAUUAAUUUAGCAGCUUUUUCUGAUCUGGUUUUCAUUCUUUCCCAUGCACUGUUAAUAUUUUUAAGUAAACACCAAAGCCUUAGUGUGGGGAGGGUUAUUUUGCCCAUAAUUUUCCAACCAUUUUUUUCCUGCUGGUAAUUGCCCAUAAAAUCAGAUCUGUCAUUCUAUUCUCAAUAAUUUUUUGGUAUUUCAGUAACAUUGAAUUUUCAUGGUACGUAACAGGAUCCUUUUGCUGAGAACUGUCAAUAAAAAAAGUCACCUGGUUUUCAA
Molecule: long non-coding RNA, 1160 nt
Organism: Pezoporus occidentalis (night parrot)
Lineage: Eukaryota; Metazoa; Chordata; Aves; Psittaciformes; Psittacidae
Exons: 3
Source: RefSeq, a predicted model, not a curated record